This 478-nucleotide ribosomal RNA is filed under the name uncultured bacterium. RNAcentral's name for it is "bacterial SSU rRNA". It matches the Rfam family "Bacterial small subunit ribosomal RNA", at positions 40 to 507 of the family's 1533-position model. The record is from RNAcentral.
CGGCAUGCCUUACACAUGCAAGUCGAACGGCAGCAUGGAGGAGCUUGCUCCUCUGAUGGCGAGUGGCGAACGGGUGAGUAAAGCAUCGGAACGUACCGUGUAGUGGGGGAUAACGUAGCGAAAGUUACGCUAAUACCGCAUACGCACUGAGGUGGAAAGCAGGGGAUCGCAAGACCUUGCGCUAUACGAGCGGCCGAUGUCAGAUUAGCUAGUUGGUAGGGUAAAGGCCUACCAAGGCGACGAUCUGUAGCGGGUCUGAGAGGAUGAUCCGCCACACUGGGACUGAGACACGGCCCAGACUCCUACGGGAGGCAGCAGUGGGGAAUUUUGGACAAUGGGCGAAAGCCUGAUCCAGCCAUGCCGCGUGAGUGAAGAAGGCCUUCGGGUUGUAAAGCUCUUUCGGCUGGGAAGAAAUCGCACAGGCUAAUACUCUGUGUGGAUGACGGUACCAGCACAAGAAGCACCGGCUAACUACGUG